This 254-nucleotide ribosomal RNA is filed under the name uncultured bacterium. Its description in RNAcentral is "partial 16S ribosomal RNA". It matches the Rfam family "Bacterial small subunit ribosomal RNA", at positions 524 to 776 of the family's 1533-position model. The record is from RNAcentral.
GACGGAGGGUGCUAGCGUUGUUCGGAAUCACUGGGCGUAAAGGGCGCGUAGGCGGCCUUGCAAGUCGGUUGGUGAAAGCCCGGGGCUCAACCCCGGAGGUGCGGCCGAGACUGCAGGGCUGGAGGCCGGAAGAGGAGGGUGGAAUACCCAGUGUAGAGGUGAAAUUCGUAGAUAUUGGGUGGAACACCGGUGGCGAAGGCGGCAUCCUGGACCGGUAUUGACGCUGAGGCGCGAAAGCCAGGGGAGCAAACGGG